GCGCGCUUCGACUGGUUUAGCGCGGGGAUAGGCGCUGUCUUCAACAGCAGCGCUAUAAUGCAGCACGUGCGCCGCUCCAGCAGUGUCCAAAAAUCAGCGCGCGCAGCACGCACAAACCACAUAUACAUUUCAAAAAAUAGACGAAAAAAUGAUCAAACAAACAAAAUAAAUCAACAAUAAAUAGUCAUUACAACUCAAACAAAUAGUUUAUCCUUCAGUACAACAAAUAAUGCAAUAAACACAACCAAUAGUUCAUGAACAAUACAAUACAAAUAAUGCAAUAAACACAACCGGCGGCCGGACUAGGAGGGGG
Molecule: long non-coding RNA, 313 nt
Filed under: Hordeum vulgare
Lineage: Eukaryota; Viridiplantae; Streptophyta; Magnoliopsida; Poales; Poaceae
Description: long non-coding RNA (HVUL_LNC020156)
Source: RNAcentral